CUUGUCAGAGUGGUUGUGGUGUG
This 23-nucleotide microRNA is filed under the name Daphnia magna. Its description in RNAcentral is "Dma-Mir-2-P4_5p (mature (guide))". The record is from RNAcentral. Lineage: Eukaryota; Metazoa; Arthropoda; Branchiopoda; Diplostraca; Daphniidae.